This is a long non-coding RNA of Vitis vinifera (wine grape), 1038 nucleotides long. RefSeq lists it as uncharacterized. NCBI's taxonomy places the organism in Eukaryota, Viridiplantae, Streptophyta, Magnoliopsida, Vitales, Vitaceae. The transcript is spliced from 2 exons. The record is from RefSeq and is a predicted model, not a curated record.
AAUAACACAUCUAGUGUCCCCUAGAGUUCCCUUGACCACUUCACUGGGGACCUUCUCUAGUUAUAAUGACUUCCUACUGAAGUGUUUGGGGGAACUCCUGGUGCCAUUUGAUACUUACUGACUAUCCAUCACACGUUAGUUACAUCAAUGAAGGAAAAGACAUGCUACAAGGUCUUUUUCACUUAUGAUGAAGUGGAGCAUAUUCUUCAAUUACAUCCUAGGCGUUUCUUUCUAGCUACAAAAUCUACUGCUGCCAACUUUCUUUAUUAGAUUGCUAUGCUUGGGGCAUUAUAUCAUAACAUACUACAAUAUGAUUCUUUGGUUGAAAGAAAAUCUUCUUACAGAAAAACACAAAAAUGUAAGUACUCUAAUUAAUUUUAACAGCUACUUUUUGAGUGCCUUUUUUCCAGGUUCUAUGCAGAUCACUGAAGAACAGUGGCAAAGGAAUGCAAAAUGAGUAUUGAUCACAAGUGAGAUUCACAGAAUUGCAGUAGUCCUUGGUUUGAAUAGUACUCUGAAAAAAUAAAUCAAUCAAUCAAAGACCCGACCUAUGGUAGAAAUCUUGAGCAAAUUAGUUGCAUUUCAUCGACUUUGAGGCUCAGCCCAAGUUUUAUAGAAACUGCAAAAACCUGUUUUUCAACCUCAAUAUUGAUCUGAAUCAAUUUUUUUUUUGUUUAGAAAGGUAUCACACAAUGGAUUAAAACACAUUUUUUCUGUCAAAGAAAAUCCCAGGAGAUUGCUGUACCUGACAGUUGAGUAGGAAAGAAAGAUGGGGUGACAAAUUCUUCAAGUAUGAUACUUCAGCGCAUCGCAAACCGUUUUUCUUCCACUUGGAUUCAAGACGAGUUUUCUCUGAAAAGAAUAAAAUUGUGGAGGUGAAUCCGACCAAGUCUGACAUUUCUCAUUUAUCUUCAGCUUUUACAUUUUCUCCCUGUACCAUCUCUAUGUUAAAAGCCAGUAAUUCCAACAUGGCUGAUGGAACAAACAUUGGUUAAAGCAAAAGGGUAUUGGGCUCCAUAUGAACUGCUCUUCUAGUCA